CGGUCCAUAGGCCGGGCAAACGGGGCGCCCGCCCUGGGCCUCCAAGGCAGGGGCCCCAGCCCAGCUAGUGUUUCCGUACGUAGGAGGCCCCACAAAAACAACGAGCAGAUUCAGCGUCUUCCGGUCAGUCCGUGCCCCUCGACUCCUCGUCAUCCCCAAAUCCAGACUCCCAUGACUGCGCCGCCGUUCCCCUGGGUCUCGCUGUCUUCGAUUCCAAGGUCGCCGCUGGCCAUUAAUGGGGCUAAAGGCGCAAAUCUGCUCCCCAAUCGGCUCUCCUUCCUUUCUCGAUGUUCUGCUCGUUCCCCAUCAGCUAGACGUUGGAGAGAAGGUACCUGUUCUUUUCUUCCUGCCCAUAAUCCUGUUCUUCAUCGAUUAAAUAGCUCUGCCCUCUGAGAGAUUACACAUCUGCUUGGCCUGCUCCCCUGCAUAGUUCUUCUUCUGUAGUUCACCUCUUCGGUAGAUCUACGUGUGGAAGAGUGUUUAGGAGUCAGGGGAUUAGGAGAAUUGGAGAUGGGGGGUCGUUCGUGUUGACUACUACGUACAACAUGUGGAUCUGCUGAUCUGCCCAUCUACAUCCACAUCAAAAUCUAUAUCCAGAACAAAAUGAAGUCUCCUUUCAAAUUUAGGAAUGCGGGCUUUUGUGGAAAGAGAGCUUUUGUCGAACUGCAUCAUUUCAUUACUAUCAUGGUGUAGUUCACUUGAUCAUUUCAUUUCAAAUUGUACUAUCAGUUUUAGAGUCCAAAUAAAGAUCAUCUGGCUAUGUUGUGUACUGGAUAUUUACUUUGCUUUUGAAAUAGAAAAUGUUUUGAGUUUUUGAGUAAA
This is a long non-coding RNA of Triticum dicoccoides, 822 nucleotides long. RefSeq lists it as uncharacterized. The transcript has 2 exons. The record is from RefSeq and is a predicted model, not a curated record. Lineage: Eukaryota; Viridiplantae; Streptophyta; Magnoliopsida; Poales; Poaceae.